RNAcentral lists this ribosomal RNA (536 nucleotides) under uncultured bacterium. Its description in RNAcentral is "bacterial SSU rRNA". It matches the Rfam family "Bacterial small subunit ribosomal RNA", at positions 8 to 523 of the family's 1533-position model. The record is from RNAcentral.
AGAGUUUGAUCCUGGCUCAGAACGAACGCUGGCGGCGUGCUUAACACAUGCAAGUCGAACGGGAUCCAGAGCUUGCUCUGGUGAGAGUGGCGCACGGGUGAGUAACGCGUGGAUAACCUGCCCUGGUAUCCGGAAUAACAUCUCGAAAGGGGUGCUAAUACCGGAUAAGCCUACGGAGCCCUCGGUCUCUGCAGGAAAAGGUGGCCUCUAUUUAUAAGCUACCGUAUCAGGAUGGGUCCGCGUACCAUUAGCUAGUUGGUGGGGUAAUGGCCUACCAAGGCGACGAUGGUUAGCUGGUCUGAGAGGAUGAUCAGCCACACUGGAACUGAGACACGGUCCAGACUCCUACGGGAGGCAGCAGUGGGGCAUUUUGCGCAAUGGGGGAAACCCUGACGCAGCAACGCCGCGUGAGUGAUGAAGGCUUUCGGGUCGUAAAGCUCUGUCAGAGGGGAAGAAAUGAGAUUGGCUAAUAUCCAAUUUUCUUGACGGUACCCUCAAAGGAAGCACCGGCAACUCCGUGCCAGCAGCCGCGGUAA